This is a long non-coding RNA of Nerophis ophidion (straightnose pipefish), 3386 nucleotides long. RefSeq lists it as uncharacterized. NCBI's taxonomy places the organism in Eukaryota, Metazoa, Chordata, Actinopteri, Syngnathiformes, Syngnathidae. The record is from RefSeq and is a predicted model, not a curated record. The transcript is spliced from 3 exons.
CGAGAAGUGGUAUGUGCUCAGAACUGUGACGCCUCCAAAGUGAUGGGUUGAGCUGGUCGAGGGUCCCGGUGGAGGUCAAAGUGCUCUCCGUGAGGCCGUACCUGUCAAGGAGGCAGGCCGACGCGGACAGUUCCCGCACCUCCUUCUCGCCGUGGUGGAGCAGCUUCACCACCAGGAUGGACUUGAUCAGGCUGAGCAUGAGCAUGGCCAUGCACACGGCGAAGAACACACCUUGACACAGAGGGAUUCAGGGUUUGAGGGAGUUCAGAGGCAUACGCCUGUAGGACACGUGAGAGUCACCCUGCCUAUGAGCGGCGUGGCGAGCGCGGUGGCGGGCAGGUCGUCUGUCAGGUUGACCCGGAAGACGGUGUAGCCCAGCAGCGUGCUGAUCUUAAAGACCACGCGGGUGCCGCUGCUCACGGGAAGGUAGAAGCCCAUCACGUCCACUAUCAUGAGGAAGAUGCUGGGAAUGAGGAGGCCGACCACGUACAGCAGGGGGCGCCGCCGGAUUAAGACCUGCAACACAAAAGACGGAGCAGGAAGAAGCUAGGACACCUGAGUGGAGCCAGCUGCGGAAGGUGAGGCUGCAGUUCUGCUUGUCGAAGGGGAAGGCGUACAUCUCCAGGCUGCAGGCCAGCACCACCUGCAUGGGUCGGUAGUUCUUCACCCAGCCCGAGGAGUUGACGUAGACGUACGGGAUGGGCGCGGACGUGCCCUCGUCCACGCUGCACAAGCACACGAAGGACAAAUGAAGGUCGGGGUAGGACUAACCGAGUGGUCACGGGGGGGUGUAGACGUACAACUCACUGACGAUGAUGUCGGGUACCCAGAUGGCGUCGGAAGACAGGGAAAUCUCCUUGAUUCCGUCAAAUUCCUCCGGGUCCCAAACCAGGAACUCAUCAGCCCAGAUCUGCGGAAGCAAUAAGCCAAAUCCUUCACGUCAUACAAUAGGGGUGUCCAAAGUGUGGACCGGGGGCCUAUUGCGACCCGCAGCUCGAGUUUUUACGAGGAAAAAAAACCUAUAAAAAUGUAAGAAAAAAAGAGCAAAAAAACAUGAUGUAAUAGAAAAAAAGGUGAAAUGUUUGUACUAAUUAUUAUUAAUGAUAAACAUUGUCUCUUUUAACACAAAGUUAUGUAUUUAAAUGCCGAAUAUAUGAUGUUUAAUUUUUUUUUACAAAAAGUCUGUGCACCUCUGAUCUAAAAUAUUAGAAACUUUCUAAGUGACUAACUAAGUAGUCACCUGAAAAAUAAAAUAAAGAAAAAUAAUAUUAUUAUCUAAUACAUUUAUGAAUUUGAAAAAUUACAACAACUUAAAUAAUAAAUGUUAAAAGUAUAACUGAACAUUGAUCUAUUCAUAAAGCAGAAUUUUGGACACACCGGGUUGUGAAGUUACAUAAUCGUAACAGUAUUCUUAUAAUUGUCAUUAUUAUCAACAUUAUAUUCGUAGAGGAAAAUGUCAACAACAUAUUGUUAAAAAAAAAAAAAAAAACUAUCAAAUGCAAGAACAAAGCAAGAAGAUGUACUGUAAUGCAAUGUGAAAAGGUGGAAUAUUCAUACUAUCCAUCCAUUCAUCCAUUUUCUACUGCUUAUUCCCUUUGGGGUCGCGGGGGGCACUGGUUCCUAUCCCAGCUCCAAUCGGGCGGAAGGCGGGGUACACCCUGGACAAGUCGCUACCUCAUCGCCGAUGUUCAUACUAAUUAUUGAUAAUAAUAUACUUUGUCAUUUGUAACACAAAGCGGACACAAAGUUAUGUAUUUAAAUGCUGAAUAUAUAAAAUAUAUACAAUAUAAAAUAUCAGAACCUCUCAAAAUUAAAAUUAUUUAAAAACGAAAUAGUCAGUUAAUAAAUUAAAUAAACAAAGAAAAUUACAUUAUUACCUAAUUAAUUAUUGAAUUUGAAAAAUUACAACAACGGAAAUAAUAAAGGAUGUUAAGAUGGUAACUGAACAUUCCAAUUUUCAUCAAGCAGAAUUUUUGACAUCCCAUGUUGUGCAGUUACACAAUCAUAAUGUUUUUAUUAUCAUUGUAAAUAUUAUUAUCAUUAUUAUAUUCAUACAGGAAAAAUGUAAAAUGACAGAAAAAAAGAGCAAAAAGAUUAAAUUUUCAUACUAAUUUAUAAUAAUGUACUUUGUUACUUAUAACUCAAAGCAGAUACAAAGUUAUGUCUUUAAAUGCUGAAAAUAUGAGGUUUAUUUUUUUCUUACAAAAAUAACUAAAAUAUUAGAAGCUCUCGAAAAUUUCAAUAAAAUAAAAACAUAUACUAAGUCGUCAGUAAAAAAAAUUAAGUAAACAAACAAAAUGAUAAUAUCGACUAAUGAAGUAAUGAAUUUGAAAAAUUACAACUAAAAUAACAAACAUUGUUAAAGGUAUAGCUGAACCGUAGAGCAGAAUUUUUGACACUCUAGAUUGUGCAGUUACACAAUCGUAAUGGUAUUAUUAUCAUUGUCAAAAAUAUAAGAAAAUGAGCACAAAGGUGUACAGUGACACAAUGUGAAAAUUGGGAUACUACUUAUUAAUAAUAAUACACUUUGUCACCUACAACACGAAGCUGACACAACGUUUUGUCUUUAAACAAAUAUUUUUGUAUUUAGCAUUUUUAAAUAAAUAAAAAAAAAUCUCAAAAAGGCUUCCUUAUACUUGGACUUUUGAGUAUGCGGCCCCUGGUGGGAAAACGUUUGAACAACUCUGUCGUACUGUAUUUACAGUUUUUCAUGCCAUACCUGUCUAUACCAAAUACUUGUGGUCACAGUUUGGGUUUUUCCGUCCUGAAACGAGAAAAACGGCUUUGAGGUUAUUAUUUACAGUACGUUUGGGUUCUUUGUCUGCUUUCACGUGGAUAUUACCACGUCCAGGAUGGACUGUAGAAUGAGGUCAACGUAGACGGUGGUCGCGCUGGUCCAGUUGUGAACGGGGCGGACUCCGCAGUCAUACUUCCUCAGGAGGGUUCUGGUCAGCUGAUUCAAAGCCGAUCUUCGUGGUUUCUCCGGCACACUCUCAGCCAGAUGGCCUUCAAGAGAUAGAUAGCAGCAGUGUUGCAGUAACUCAACGUCUUUGUGGAUCACGCCAGUAGGAUUUAUACAUUAAGCCAGUUUUUUGUACCCAGACCCCUUCCCACCCUGUAUGGGUCAAGUCCAGCUAAAAUUCAAUCGCCCAGCACUGCAGUACAGACUUUUUUAUGAUGUAACAAGUGUUGUUUCUGGGUUUUGGGUGAUGUCCCAUUAGUGACUCCUGCCUUAUCUGGGAGACGACGUCCACAGCUGUGGACAUUUGUGUUUUGCAUGACAGGGCUAUUUUUUCAAAAAUAUGUAACACUGGCGAAAUAGACCAAAAACUAUUUAGGCCGAGAUCGCAGACCUCAGCCAGACCCUACCUCUCUAUAAUAAAGUA